RNAcentral lists this transfer RNA (76 nucleotides) under Marmota monax (woodchuck). RNAcentral's name for it is "tRNA.Ala". Lineage: Eukaryota; Metazoa; Chordata; Mammalia; Rodentia; Sciuridae. The record is from RNAcentral.
AGGAGUCUAGCUCAGUGCUAAAGCAUUUUCCUAGCAUGCAUGAGGCCCUGGGUUUGAUCCCCACCCAGCAUUCUUA